GUGAGGAAUAUUGCGCAAUGGAGGCAACUCUGACGCAGCCAUGCCGCGUGCAGGAAGAAGGCGCUACGCGUUGUAAACUGCUUUUAACCGGGAAGAAACCCCAGGACGUGUCCUGGGUUGACGGUACCGGAGGAAUAAGCACCGGCUAACUUCGUGCCAGCAGCCGCGGUAAUACGAAGGGUGCAAGCGUUAUCCGGAUUCAUUGGGUUUAAAGGGUGCGUAGGCGGAGCGUUAAGUCAGUGGUGAAAUCCUGCAGCUUAACUGUAGACUUGCCAUUGAUACUGGCGCUCUUGAGUGCGCUUGAAGGGGGCGGAAUGUGCCGUGUAGCGGUGAAAUGCUUAGAUAUGGCACAGAACACCAAUUGCGAAGGCAGCUCACUAAGGCGAUACUGACGCUGAGGCACGAAAGCGUGGGGAUCGAACAGGAUUAGAUACCCGAGUAGUCC
This 445-nucleotide ribosomal RNA is filed under the name uncultured bacterium. RNAcentral describes it as "partial 16S ribosomal RNA". It matches the Rfam family "Bacterial small subunit ribosomal RNA", at positions 354 to 796 of the family's 1533-position model. The record is from RNAcentral.